GAGAUCUCAAAGUGAGCCGUGCGACUCUGUUCACCAUACAACUCUUGCAGGUGAACCAGCAUCUCUCUGACAGUUCUCAUAUCUUUAUGCUGUUGCUGAAGAUCAUUGGAUAUGAACGUUAAGAUAUAGCAUUUCGCCUUGUUAUCUUCGUCCAUCCACUUUUCAAAUACAGCUCAUUGAUCAACGGAUGGGUGAGCAGGUAAUGCAGGCGCUUCUUGAUCGAGGACAUAGGUGAGUUUUUCAGAAUUGAGAACAAUUCUCAAAUUUUGGAGCCAGUCUUUGUAAUUGGUGCCGGUCAACUUAUUUGUAUCAAGGAUUCGGGCUAAGAGGUUUGAAUUCGAUAUGAUUAUCUGCAGAG
RNAcentral lists this long non-coding RNA (358 nucleotides) under Elaeis guineensis (African oil palm). RNAcentral's name for it is "long non-coding RNA (EGUI_LNC071147)". Lineage: Eukaryota; Viridiplantae; Streptophyta; Magnoliopsida; Arecales; Arecaceae. The record is from RNAcentral.